This 508-nucleotide ribosomal RNA is filed under the name Pseudomimeciton sp. 1 JP-2017. RNAcentral describes it as "partial 16S ribosomal RNA". It matches the Rfam family "Bacterial large subunit ribosomal RNA", at positions 1829 to 2600 of the family's 2925-position model. Lineage: Eukaryota; Metazoa; Arthropoda; Insecta; Coleoptera; Staphylinidae. The record is from RNAcentral.
GUCUUUUUGGAUUAAUAUAAAGUCUGGCCUGCCCAAUGAAAUUUAUUUAAUGGCCGCAGUAUUUUGACUGUGCAAAGGUAGCAUAAUCAUUAGUUUCUUAAUUAGUAACUGGAAUGAAGGGUUAAACGAAAAAAUUACUGUUUCACUUUAAUUAUAAUAGAAUUUUAUUUUUAAGUAAAAAAGCUUAAAUGAAUUUAAAAGACGAGAAGACCCUAUAGAGUUUAAUAUAAAUAAAUUAUAAUAAAUGAGAGUUUUUAAUAAUGAUUUUUGUAUUUGAUUGGGGUGAUUAAAAAAUUUAAAGAACUUAUUUAAAAUAUCUACAAAGAUUUUUGAUUAAAUGAUCCACAUAAAUUUGUGAAUAUUAGAUUAAAUUACCUUAGGGAUAACAGCGUAAUUUUUUUAGAGAGUUCAAAUCGAUAAAAAAGAUUGCGACCUCGAUGUUGGAUUAAAAUAAAUUUUUGGUGAAGAAUUUAAAAGUGUUGGUCUGUUCGACCAUUAAAAUUUUACA